GACGAACGCUGGCGGCGUGCUUAACACAUGCAAGUCGAAACGAUGAAGCCUAGCUUGCUAGGUGGAUUAGUGGCGAACGGGUGAGUAAUACGUGAGUAACCUACCUUUAACUCUGGGAUAAGCCUGGGAAACUGGGUCUAAUACCGGAUACGACCAAUCUCCGCAUGGGGUGUUGGUGGAAAGCGUUAUGUAGUGGUUAUAGAUGGGCUCACGGCCUAUCAGCUUGUUGGUGAGGUAACGGCUCACCAAGGCGACGACGGGUAGCCGGCCUGAGAGGGUGACCGGCCACACUGGGACUGAGACACGGCCCAGACUCCUACGGGAGGCAGCAGUGGGGAAUAUUGCACAAUGGGCGCAAGCCUGAUGCAGCGACGCCGCGUGAGGGAUGACGGCCUUCGGGUUGUAAACCUCUGUUAGCAGGGAAGAAGAGAAAUUGACGGUACCUGCAGAGAAAGCGCCGGCUAACUACGUGCCAGCAGCCGCGGUAAUACGUAGGGCGCGAGCGUUGUCCGGAAUUAUUGGGCGUAAAGAGCUUGUAGGCGGUUUGUCGCGUCUGCUGUGAAAGGCCGGGGCUUAACCCCGUGUAUUGCAGUGGGUACGGGCAGACUAGAGUGCAGUAGGGGAGACUGGAACUCCUGGUGUAGCGGUGGAAUGCGCAGAUAUCAGGAAGAACACCGAUGGCGAAGGCAGGUCUCUGGGCUGUAACUGACGCUGAGAAGCGAAAGCAUGGGGAGCGAACAGG
This 742-nucleotide ribosomal RNA is filed under the name Rothia mucilaginosa. RNAcentral's name for it is "bacterial SSU rRNA". It matches the Rfam family "Bacterial small subunit ribosomal RNA", at positions 28 to 776 of the family's 1533-position model. The record is from RNAcentral. Lineage: Bacteria; Bacillati; Actinomycetota; Actinomycetes; Micrococcales; Micrococcaceae.